This 253-nucleotide ribosomal RNA is filed under the name uncultured bacterium. RNAcentral describes it as "partial 16S ribosomal RNA". It matches the Rfam family "Bacterial small subunit ribosomal RNA", at positions 524 to 776 of the family's 1533-position model. The record is from RNAcentral.
UACAGAGGUCCCAAGCGUUGUUCGGAUUCACUGGGCGUAAAGGGUGCGUAGGCGGUCAGAUAAGUCUGUCGUGAAAUACCGGAGCUCAACUCCGGAAUGGCGUCGGAAACUAUUUGGCUAGAGGAUUGGAGGGGGGACUGGAAUUCUCGGUGUAGCAGUGAAAUGCGUAGAUAUCGAGAGGAACACCCGUGGCGAAGGCGAGUCCCUGGACAAUUCCUGACGCUGAGGCACGAAAGCUAGGGGAGCAAACAGG